This is a long non-coding RNA of Lynx canadensis (Canada lynx), 1075 nucleotides long. RefSeq lists it as uncharacterized. The record is from RefSeq and is a predicted model, not a curated record. Lineage: Eukaryota; Metazoa; Chordata; Mammalia; Carnivora; Felidae. The transcript is spliced from 4 exons.
AGACCUGCGGGAGGCAGAAGGGAGGGUGAGUGUGGAGUCUGCACCGCGUUGAGCCAAAACUUGCCUACUUCAUUCCUGUAAGACACACGAGACCCACGCUUCACUAGCAGGUGGUUAGAUGGGGAAUAAAUACAGCAGCUCUAAGAAGCUAAAUUAGUCAGGUUGUUUUGCAGGAAAAACCAGAAGUGACUCCGGGAAAAAAAAAAAUCAGAAUGAGCAAGUACUUCCGCUUAAUCAGUACCCCAACAGCUUUGAAGCACAGAGAACCUGUUGUAAUUGUUAGUGAAAACCUCAUCUUCUUGCAGCAAAUGGCAACAUCUUUUGCUCAAUUCCUGCACUGUCGACUCAGAUUGAUUUCCUUUUAACCCAUUUAUCUGGUAGACAAAGCCUCUUUGCUUUCUUUUUUUAAGACAGUCUUUUCCAUUUAGAAGUAGAGCAGUGUACUUACAUCGUUAAGGAAAACUUUGAGGAGGUGUUAUUAUAAGAGAUAAGUACAGAGCUGUGUAUCUGAAGCUUUUUACAAGAAAGAAAUGGAACAUUCACAUUGCCAAGGACUUGUUCUAGGAACUGUGGUAAGAGCUGGAACAUAAGGAUAUAUUCUUAAGGAAACUAUUUGUACAAAUACAUAUGUAUUUAUAAUUUGUGGCCUUUGAAAAGGAAACCCCAGGACAUAUAUAACACGGAAACAAGAGGUUAUCCCAGCCAACCUCAAACCAGUCAGUAUGAGAAGCCUAGCCUGUGAGUUCUGGCGUGGACUGGUGUACCAGGGUCUCCCAGAUUCCAUUCUUAGCAGGUUGAUGGGGCAAUGCUGAAAAAAAAAAUGAAUCCCACAAAUUUGGCACACAUCUGCUUCCUGGAUUAAUGUUUUCCCAAACUGUAAACAAGCGGUAGAAGGGACUUCUGGUUUCACCCAUGAUCUUGGCUCCUUUGAUCCAAACCUUUGAGGGAUCUGGCAAGGGACAGAAAGAGCUACCAGAAGAUACAGAGAGAAGGAAGAAGGCAGUAAUGGUUUGUAUCAUGUAAUAGUAGCUUGAAUUUAUAUAGUGUUUUGCAAUGUAUAAACUUCUUUAACAUA